This is a non-coding RNA of Boleophthalmus pectinirostris (great blue-spotted mudskipper), 1840 nucleotides long. The record is from the annotation of a RefSeq genome assembly. NCBI's taxonomy places the organism in Eukaryota, Metazoa, Chordata, Actinopteri, Gobiiformes, Gobiidae.
UGCUGCCUCUCUGCUCCAGCCGUUAAGAGCCCAGUGCUGCUCAGUGUGUGUGCGGGCCCUUCAGAGCCACUCCCACACCAACAACACAAUGAGCCUGAUGUCCCUGCAGCUGUUCCUGCUGGCCCUGGGGCUCCUGGUUCGGGGUUCUUCAGGAGAAAUCAGCCUGACUCAGACUCCUAAAGCUGCAGCUGUGGACAAAGGAGCCUCUGUUACUCUCAGGUGUCAGACCAGUUCAAAUGUAGGGAAUAAUCUCGCCUGGUAUCUCCAGAAAGGCACAGAAUCUCCAAAGCUCCUGAUAUAUGCUGCUACUUCUCGUCACUCUGGAGUCUCCAGUCGUUUCAGUGGAAGUGGUUCUGGAUCUGAUUAUUCUUUGACCAUCAGUGGAUUUGAGGCUGAAGAUGCAGGAGUUUAUUACUGUCAGCAGUGUUACAGCUCACCGAUUCACACAGUGAAAAAGACUCGUACAAAAACCUCCUCAGACUGAACUGAAACUGUUCACACUUCACUAAACUCACACUGCACAGUGACACGCAAUAUAAUGAGAGUUAAGAACAGGCUGAACAGGGAAUUCAUUAUGUUAUUUUAUAAUUAAAUUAUUUGCAUUUAUUUAAUUAUUUUUACACACACACACACACACACACACACACACACAUGCACACACACGCACACACACAUACACACACACACACACACACACAAUAAUUUACAGUCAACAUAGGUGUGACCAUUAUUAAAUUACACCAUUAUGUUACAAACAUUUGAGUGAAUAAACUGCAUGUUCAAAAGUCAUGUUAGUGAUUGUGGAGAAUGAAAAACUUCAGAGUCUCGAACUGUGAAAAAUGUGAAGAUAAAGAACAAGCAAACAUAGGACUCCAGUUAGAAUUCCUAUGUGGAAAAAAAAACAAAACAAACAAACGAAAAAACAACAUAUUAUUUAUUUAUUUAUUUUUAUAUAUAGUUUAUUUAUUUUCCUUUUUUUUUCUUAUAUUUUAAUCAUCAGUUCAAGGUAAUACUAUUGACUGUGUCUUUCUAAUUCUGGAGUAAAGCCAAAUAUUUUUAAUACACGUCAUGAUUCAAUAUAACAAAUAUUAGACCUUUUACAAUGACUUAAAAAGGGGCUAAAACACUUCCUUGGGGUCCACAACAGAAAAAACUGAUAAAAUAAGAAAAUAUACUGUUAACACACUCAAUUAUUCAAUAUAACAAAUGUAUAAAAUAUUCGACAUUUAACAAUGAAUUAGAAAGAGACAAAAACACUUCCCUGAGGUCCUCCACAGGAAAGAUUUGAAAUGAUCUUUAAAGGGACACAGUGUUGGUCUGCAGCUGUGUUCACUUCAUCCUCAUUGACAUCGAGGCUUUUGAUCAUUGUUUUAAUAAUUUAUUCAUUGAUAAUUUUCCACAAGAAAAAGGAUAAAAUGAGGAAAUAUAAUGUUCACACAAUACAACGACUAAAUGAACAAAAGGUCAUAUCAGUGUGUCUAUGCACUUGUCUGGAAAACAUUUGACUUACAUUUAGGUCAGGAGUCAAAAACUAAAGUAUCUUCCUGUAAAAAGUAUUUAACUUUCAUAAUAUUGUCAGACAUUGGAAAAGUAAUAUUAAUGAUUCAUCUGGUUUCAUUUGUUUUCACUGGAUCAAACAUUGUUUUGAAUCUGAAAGCAGCAGAAACACAUCCCUGUUAUUCACAACAUUCACAUUUAUCAAAUACAUUUUAUUCAUAUUUAUUUCUUCCUAUAAAUUACAAUUCUUUCAAAAUAUAAUCUUUACUAAACAUUCACUUUAUUCUUCAGGUUUAGUUUGUUCAUUUAUUUUGUUAUUUAUAUUAAAAUUGUGAGAACAGAA